GGUCAAGUUUCUAAGAGCAAACGGUGGAUGCCUUGGCAUCUGGAGCCGAUGAAGGACGUAGAAAUCUGCGAUAAGCCUCGGGGAGCUGAUAAUCGAGCCUCGAUCCGAGGAUUUCCGAAUGGGGAAACCCCGCCAGGCGUUUUGCGACCUGGUGACUCCCGCCUGAAUAUAUAGGGCGGGUAGAGGGAACGUGGGGAAGUGAAACAUCUCAGUACCCACAGGAAGAGAAAACAACAUGUGAUUCCGUGAGUAGUGGCGAGCGAAAGCGGAUGAGGCUAAACCGAUCAUGUGUGAUAGCCGGCGGGCGUUGCAUGGUCGGGGUUGUGGGACACGUCACUCAGUUCUGCCGGACUGGGACGGUUACAGCGCAUCAUAGUCGAACCGGUUUGAAAGCCGGGCCGUAGUGGGUGCCAGCCCCGUAGACGAAAUGGUGUUAUGGCCGGAUGUGUAUCCCAAGUAGCACGGGGCCCGAGAAAUCCCGUGUGAAUCUGUCAGGACCACCUGAUAAGCCUAAAUACUCCCAGAUGACCGAUAGCGGACAAGUACCGUGAGGGAAAGGUGAAAAGUACCCCGGGAGGGGAGUGAAAUAGUACCUGAAACCGUUUGCUUACAAACCGUUGGAGCCUCCUUAGUAGGGGUGACAGCGUGCCUUUUGAAGAAUGAGCCUGCGAGUUAGUGAUACGUGGCGAGGUUAAC
This 696-nucleotide ribosomal RNA is filed under the name Bifidobacteriaceae bacterium. RNAcentral describes it as "partial 23S ribosomal RNA". It matches the Rfam family "Bacterial large subunit ribosomal RNA", at positions 1 to 650 of the family's 2925-position model. Lineage: Bacteria; Bacillati; Actinomycetota; Actinomycetes; Bifidobacteriales; Bifidobacteriaceae. The record is from RNAcentral.